Molecule: ribosomal RNA, 457 nt
Filed under: uncultured fungus
Lineage: Eukaryota; Fungi
Description: partial small subunit ribosomal RNA
Rfam family: Eukaryotic small subunit ribosomal RNA
Source: RNAcentral
GCUUGUCUCAAAGAUUAAGCCAUGCAAAGGAACGUUCAACCCCAUUUGGGGAAGACGCUGGCCGGCUCAUUAAAUCAGUCAUAGUUCAUUCGACAGAUCACUCUACAUGGAUAACCGUAGUAACUCUAGAGCUAAUACAUGCACUCGAGCCUCGACCGAGGCCCCGGCAACGGGGUCGCGGAAGAGGUGCUUUUAUUAGAUCAAAACCAGUCGGGGAAACGAUCGCGCCGGGUCAAACCGGUCGGUCGCGGAACCGUACCAAUUUUGGUGACUCUGGAUAACUUCACGCCGAUCGCACGGCCUUCGCGCCGGCGACGUAUCUUUCAAAUGUCUGCCUUAUCAACUGUCGAUGGUAGGUUACGCGCCUACCAUGGUUGCAACGGGUAACGGGGAAUCGGGGUUCGAUUCCGGAGAGGGAGCCUGAGAAACGGCUACCACAUCCAAGGAAGGCAGCAGG